Molecule: ribosomal RNA, 680 nt
Filed under: uncultured marine group I thaumarchaeote
Lineage: Archaea; Thermoproteati; Nitrososphaerota
Description: bacterial SSU rRNA
Rfam family: Archaeal small subunit ribosomal RNA
Source: RNAcentral
CCCUACGGGGCGCAGCAGGCGAGAAAACUUUGCAAUGUGCGAAAGCACGACAAGGUUAAUCCGAGUGGUUUCUGCUAAAGGAACCUUUUGUCAGUCCUAGAAACACUGAUGAAUAAGGGGUGGGCAAGUUCUGGUGUCAGCCGCCGCGGUAAAACCAGCACCUCAAGUGGUCAGGAUGAUUAUUGGGCCUAAAGCAUCCGUAGCCUGCUUUGUAAGUUUUCGGUUAAAUCCAUACGCUCAACGUAUGGGCUGCCGGGAAUACUGCAGAGCUAGGGAGUGGGAGAGGUAGACGGUACUCGGUAGGAAGGGGUAAAAUCCUUUGAUCUAUUGAUGACCACCUGUGGCGAAGGCGGUCUACCAGAACACGUCCGACGGUGAGGGAUGAAAGCUGGGGGAGCAAACCGGAUUAGAUACCCGGGUAGUCCCAGCUGUAAACUAUGCAAACUCAGUGAUGCAUUGGCUUGAUGCCAAUGCAGUGCUGCAGGGAAGCCGUUAAGUUUGCCGCCUGGGAAGUACGUACGCAAGUAUGAAACUUAAAGGAAUUGGCGGGGGGGCACCACAAGGGGUGAAGCCUGCGGUUCAAUUGGAGUCAACGCCAGAAAUCUUACCCGGAGAAACAGCAGAAUGAAGGUCAAGCUGAAGACUUUACCAGACAAGCUGAGAGGUGGUGCAUGGGCCAA